GGAGAGGUGCCGGAGUGGUCGAACGGGGCUGCCUGCUAAGCAGUUAUACCGCAAGGUAUCCAGGGUUCGAAUCCCUGCCUCUCCG
RNAcentral lists this transfer RNA (85 nucleotides) under candidate division Zixibacteria bacterium HGW-Zixibacteria-1. Its description in RNAcentral is "tRNA-Ser". It matches the Rfam family "tRNA". From Rfam's summary of the family: Transfer RNA (tRNA) molecules are approximately 80 nucleotides in length. Their secondary structure includes four short double-helical elements and three loops (D, anti-codon, and T loops). RNAcentral also lists the same sequence under 1 other name. The record is from RNAcentral. Lineage: Bacteria; Pseudomonadati; Candidatus Zixiibacteriota.